RNAcentral lists this ribosomal RNA (443 nucleotides) under uncultured bacterium. Its description in RNAcentral is "partial 16S ribosomal RNA". It matches the Rfam family "Bacterial small subunit ribosomal RNA", at positions 338 to 795 of the family's 1533-position model. The record is from RNAcentral.
CCUACGGGAGGCAGCAGUGGGGAAUAUUGGACAAUGGGGGGAACCCUGAUCCAGCGACGCCGCGUGAGUGAAGAAGUCUUUCGGGAUGUAAAGCUCUGUCAGCAGGGAAGAAAGACAUGACGGUCCCUGACCAAGAAGCCCCGGCUAACUACGUGCCAGCAGCCGCCGUACUACGUAGGGGGCAAGCGUUAUCCGGAAUUACUGGGUGUAAAGGGAGCGUAGACGGGUAAGUAAGUCUGGAGUGAAAGGCCGGGGCCCAACCCCGGGAAUGACCUGGAAACUAUUGAACUUGAGUGCAGGAGAGGUAAGCGGAAUUCCUAGUGUAGCGGUGAAAUGCGUAGAUAUUAGGAGGAACACCAGUGGCGAAGGCGGCUUACUGGACUGUAACUGACGUUGAGGCUCGAAAGCGUGGGGAGCAAACAGGAUUAGAUACCCUAGUAGUC